UUUCCCUCAGGGUAGCUGGAGCCCACACGGGUUCUAUCGGGUAAAGCCAAUGAUUAGAGGCAUCGGGGGCGCAACGCCCUCGACCUAUUCUCAAACUUUAAAUAGGUAGGACGGCGCGGCUGCUGUAACACCCCUGGUGUUACUGUAACUAAAAUUUGACCAUGACAUCAUGAGCAUUA
RNAcentral lists this non-coding RNA (179 nucleotides) under Zea mays. Its description in RNAcentral is "Eukaryotic large subunit ribosomal RNA". It matches the Rfam family "Eukaryotic large subunit ribosomal RNA", at positions 967 to 1106 of the family's 3401-position model. Lineage: Eukaryota; Viridiplantae; Streptophyta; Magnoliopsida; Poales; Poaceae. The record is from Rfam by way of RNAcentral.